CCAUGAUUAAAAAAUAUAUAGUGAACUAAUUUGGACAGAGAUAUGCAGUUUAUGGUAUUUUAUAGCUACAGUUUCUGUUUCAUUAACAAUAAAUCUCGCAUUUCCUGACUCCAAGAUAUCUAGCUAAUAUUCAAGUUCUCUCCAAAUGUUUAUCGCCAUCUCUGGCCUGAAAUGUCUCUAUAUCUGACACUAGACUUGCAUACUCUAUUUUUGAUGUAACUCCGAAGAAAAAGUCAAAUGGAGUGAUGUCAGGCAAGUACGGUGGCUAAGAUGUCGACUAUUCUAAUUUUCAGCAUUCUGGAAAAGUUGCAUCGAGGAAUGUCAAAUAUCCAAUCUCCAAAAUGGUGGUAUUCCAUCUUAUUGAGAAAUUACUCACAGUUCAUAGUCUUCCAACUGAGCACAACAAACAACUGCAGGAUAUGCACAUAUGUAUACAGUGGUUGUAAUGAUAGCUGCAGUGAGAAAGAAAAGUCUAAUAAACUUUGUUAUGCAUCAGAUCACACCAAGCAUUAAUCUUUCGACUGUCUAUUUCAUAGUGUUGAUCAUCACUUUUGGAUUCUCUUUUCUCUCUAUAUGCACGUUAUGUCUGUUGACCAUUUCUGCAAUGUUAAACUUCACUUCAUCUACAAAACAAAUAUGCCAGAAGUAGUCAUUGUCAUCAUCAAUGCAGGAUAAAAUCCCACUGUAAAUGCAGCACAAUGCUAGAGGUCAUUUGGUGUAAUUGAUUGCAUGAUUUGUAUCUUAUAUGCAUAUAAAUGUUUAUGCAAAAUUUUAUGAAUUGUAGUACAGAGUAUUUAUAAUUCAUAUAAUACUCUGCAAAUGAAUUUUCUUGGACUUCAUAUAUAUGCAUUUCAAACUGUCUCAAUAAUCUCUUUCAUCACAAGUGGACAGUUGUAAUGCUUCCUGUCUACUUGAAUUUUUCAUACCAUUGUUUAAUUGUCCAUACUCAGUUUGGAAGUAUCAUUGAAUGGAUUUUGGUAAUUUUGUCUCAUGAUAUCACAAAAUAUACUGAGCCUACUUGAAUUGACAAAAUUUUGUUAUGUCAAUUGCAGCAUCUCUACCAGUUAUAACACAUCAAUGCAGACCUGCAAGAAAAAUCUUUGUGAAUAUUACUGUAAAAUACCACAGAUAACAUAUCUCUACCAGUUAUAACACAUCAAUGCAGACCUGCAAGAAAAAUCUUUGUGAAU
Molecule: long non-coding RNA, 1190 nt
Filed under: Androctonus crassicauda
Lineage: Eukaryota; Metazoa; Arthropoda; Arachnida; Scorpiones; Buthidae
Source: RNAcentral